UAAAGCCACACUUGGGAAGGAAACUUUUGAAGUAUCCUUAUUUGAACUGUUCGGGCCUGGUAAGGGGUGUGAUUGGUGAACAGGAUUUGGCGAUAAAGUGGUGUUCUACUGGACUGGUUUCCUUAUUUGAAAGUUGACGGAGAGUCAACGUAGUCGGAUCAAGUACUGCAACGGGAAAUUUGGCUCCUGAGAGUCAUCUGUAUCCUUUUAUCUAAGUUGUUUGGUUCCUCUCCUUAUUUGAUACACCUAUGUGAUUAAUUGAGCGUGAAGUUCCUUGGUUCUUGACUGUGAUUAUUUUGGUACCUCAUUGAGCUUCUAACUCACUCCAUUCCGUUAUCCUUGUUUUCCUUAUAGGAAACCACAUUUUGGAGACUCUGAUAUGUUGAAACAUGAGUUGAGCUAGUUUGAAUCUUCUUUUGUGUAGCUCCUCAAUGUAUGGAAAACCUUAAAUGUAUUUUAACCAAACAAUUCCCUUUUGAAUUGUAAAUUUGCAACCAUGUGUAUAUAAAAAGUGUUUAACC
Long non-coding RNA from Coffea arabica (coffee), 521 nucleotides. RefSeq lists it as uncharacterized. The record is from RefSeq and is a predicted model, not a curated record. NCBI's taxonomy places the organism in Eukaryota, Viridiplantae, Streptophyta, Magnoliopsida, Gentianales, Rubiaceae.